Molecule: long non-coding RNA, 223 nt
Filed under: Lathyrus oleraceus (garden pea)
Lineage: Eukaryota; Viridiplantae; Streptophyta; Magnoliopsida; Fabales; Fabaceae
Description: Pisum sativum (pea) long non-coding RNA (PSAT_LNC031849)
Source: RNAcentral
UGAUGUCACAUACGAUGUUGAAACAUUUCUGAAUGAUGGCUCAGCUGACCUCCUGGACAAAAAUAAUGAGAGUGAGUCCAUUCAAGCUGAACCUGAAGCUGAUAAAAUUAAUAAGCGACCCUCUAUCAGAAUUCAGAAGGAUCAUCCUAAAGAUCUCAUUAUAGGAGACCCAAAUAAAGGGGUCACCACUAGAUCAAGGGAAGUGGUCUCACAUGCCUAUUUU